GUCCACGCCGUAAACGAUGUCGACUAGCCGUUGGAGACCUUACAGUCUUUAGUGGCGCAGCUAACGCGAUAAGUCGACCGCCUGGGGAGUACGGCCGCAAGGUUAAAACUCAAAUGAAUUGACGGGGGCCCGCACAAGCGGUGGAGCAUGUGGUUUAAUUCGAUGCAACGCGAAGAACCUUACCAGGGCUAGAAAAACUAGGAAUCCUUAAGAGAUUAGGGAGUGCCCGCAAGGGAACCUAGGUCCAGGUGCUGCAUGGCUGUCGU
RNAcentral lists this ribosomal RNA (266 nucleotides) under uncultured bacterium. RNAcentral describes it as "partial 16S ribosomal RNA". It matches the Rfam family "Bacterial small subunit ribosomal RNA", at positions 793 to 1055 of the family's 1533-position model. The record is from RNAcentral.